AACGAACGCUGGCGGCAUGCCUAACACAUGCAAGUCGAACGAGACCUUCGGGUCUAGUGGCGCACGGGUGCGUAACGCGUGGUAACCUGCCCUUAGGUUCGGAAUAACUCCCCGAAAGGUGUGCUAAUACCGGAUAAUGUCUUCGGACCAAAGAUUUAUCGCCUUUGGAUGGGCCCGCGUUGGAUUAGCGAGUUGGUAGGGUAAAAGCCUACCAAGGCGACGAUCCAUAGCUGGUCUGAGAGGAUGAUCAGCCACACUGGGACUGAGACACGGCCCAGACUCCUACGGGAGGCAGCAGUGGGGAAUAUUGGACAAUGGGCGAAAGCCUGAUCCAGCAAUGCCGCGUGAGAGAUGAAGGCCUUAGGGUUGUAAAGCUCUUUUACCCGGGAUGAUAAUGACAGUACCGGGAGAAUAAGCUCCGGCUAACUCCGUG
Molecule: ribosomal RNA, 433 nt
Filed under: uncultured bacterium
Lineage: Bacteria
Description: partial 16S ribosomal RNA
Rfam family: Bacterial small subunit ribosomal RNA
Source: RNAcentral